RNAcentral lists this transfer RNA (73 nucleotides) under Bos taurus (domestic cattle). It matches the Rfam family "tRNA". From Rfam's summary of the family: Transfer RNA (tRNA) molecules are approximately 80 nucleotides in length. RNAcentral also lists the same sequence under 1 other name. Lineage: Eukaryota; Metazoa; Chordata; Mammalia; Artiodactyla; Bovidae. The record is from Rfam by way of RNAcentral.
UCCCUCAUGGUCCAAUGGUUAAGACUUUGCGCUCCCAAUGCAGGGGGCCCAGGUUCAAUCCCAGGUCAGGUAA